UACAGAGGGUGCAAGCGUUGUCCGGAAUCAUUGGGCGUAAAGAGCGUGUAGGCGGCUUGUUAAGUCUUGCGUGAAAUCUCGGGGCUCAACCCCGAGCGGUCGUGAGAAACUGGCAGGCUAGAGUGCGGGAGAGGAGAGUGGAAUUCCUGGUGUAGCGGUGAAAUGCGCAGAUAUCAGGAAGAACACCCGUGGCGAAGGCGGCUCUCUGGAACGCAACUGACGCUGAGACGCGAAAGCGUGGGGAGCAAACAGG
This 253-nucleotide ribosomal RNA is filed under the name uncultured bacterium. Its description in RNAcentral is "partial 16S ribosomal RNA". It matches the Rfam family "Bacterial small subunit ribosomal RNA", at positions 524 to 776 of the family's 1533-position model. The record is from RNAcentral.